GUGUUCACAGCUUGGUGGACUUGAUCCAAUUUUGUUCAAUCCUUUAGAACAUGCCUCUUUAUUGAAUCCUGCCACUUCUCCCAUGCCUUCAAUAUCCUGUUUAGACCCCAUCUGGGAGCCUGAGUUUGAGCCUAAAAGAACUUGUAAAGACUCUGAACUCUGGCCUGGUUGAUUGACACCAACAACAUCAUUAGAUGCAAAAGGCCUGCUUGUUCCAGAAACAAAGCUCACUAUUUGCAGUGCUAAUACAAAACAACAAAGUGUUGCCUCCAUUUGCAUAGAACCUCCAGUGAUGAUGGCGACUAUGAUGAUUUUGAAAGAGAAAGAGGGAAGCUUUUGAUCACUCACACACUUAGGGUGGCCACGUAUGAGCUCUGCUGGGAUAUAUGGCGGUAGGAAAAUCCUAACAAAUUCAGUCCCGUUUCCCAAAAAGCAACCCACAGAA
This 445-nucleotide unclassified non-coding RNA is filed under the name Hevea brasiliensis (rubber tree). The record is from RNAcentral. Lineage: Eukaryota; Viridiplantae; Streptophyta; Magnoliopsida; Malpighiales; Euphorbiaceae.